This 1036-nucleotide ribosomal RNA is filed under the name Psychrobacter sp. 'A10 isolate-5'. RNAcentral's name for it is "bacterial SSU rRNA". It matches the Rfam family "Bacterial small subunit ribosomal RNA", at positions 362 to 1397 of the family's 1533-position model. Lineage: Bacteria; Pseudomonadati; Pseudomonadota; Gammaproteobacteria; Moraxellales; Moraxellaceae. The record is from RNAcentral.
UAUUGGACAAUGGGGGAACCUGAUCCAGCCAUGCGCGUGGUGUGAAGAAGCUUUUGGUGUAAAGCACUUUAAGCAGUGAAGAAGACUCUCGGUUAAUACCCGGGGACGAUGACAUUAGCUGCAGAAUAAGCACCGGCUAACUCUGUGCCAGCAGCCGCGGUAAUACAGAGGGUGCAAGCGUUAAUCGGAAUUACUGGGCGUAAAGCGAGCGUAGGUGGCUUGAUAAGUCAGAUGUGAAAUCCCCGGGCUUAACCUGGGAACUGCAUCUGAAACUGUUAGGCUAGAGUAGGUGAGAGGGAAGUAGAAUUUCAGGUGUAGCGGUGAAAUGCGUAGAGAUCUGAAGGAAUACCGAUGGCGAAGGCAGCUUCCUGGCAUCAUACUGACACUGAGGCUCGAAAGCGUGGGUAGCAAACAGGAUUAGAUACCCUGGUAGUCCACGCCGUAAACGAUGUCUACUAGUCGUUGGGUCCCUUGAGGACUUAGUGACGCAGCUAACGCAAUAAGUAGACCGCCUGGGGAGUACGGCCGCAAGGUUAAAACUCAAAUGAAUUGACGGGGGCCCGCACAAGCGGUGGAGCAUGUGGUUUAAUUCGAUGCAACGCGAAGAACCUUACCUGGUCUUGACAUACACAGAAUCUUGUAGAGAUACGAGAGUGCCUUCGGGAAUUGUGAUACAGGUGCUGCAUGGCUGUCGUCAGCUCGUGUCGUGAGAUGUUGGGUUAAGUCCCGCAACGAGCGCAACCCUUGUCCUUAGUUACCAGCACUUCGGGUGGGAACUCUAAGGAUACUGCCAGUGACAAACUGGAGGAAGGCGGGGACGACGUCAAGUCAUCAUGGCCCUUACGACCAGGGCUACACACGUGCUACAAUGGUAGGUACAGAGGGCAGCUACACAGCGAUGUGAUGCGAAUCUCAAAAAGCCUAUCGUAGUCCAGAUUGGAGUCUGCAACUCGACUCCAUGAAGUAGGAAUCGCUAGUAAUCGCGGAUCAGAAUGCCGCGGUGAAUACGUUCCCGGGCCUUGUACACACCGCCCGU